AGAACGAACGCUGGCGGCAUGCCUAACACAUGCAAGUCGAACGAGACCUUCGGGUCUAGUGGGCGCACGGGUGCGUAACGCGUGGGAAUCUGCCCUUGGGUUCGGGAUAACAGUUGGAAACGACUGCUAAUACCGGAUGAUGACUUCGGUCCAAAGAUUUAUCGCCCAGGGAUGAGCCCGGCGUAGGAUUAGCUAGUUGGUGAGGUAAAGGCUCACCGAAGGCGACGAUCCUUAGCUGGUCUGAGAGGAUGAUCAGCCA
Molecule: ribosomal RNA, 259 nt
Filed under: uncultured soil bacterium
Lineage: Bacteria
Description: partial 16S ribosomal RNA
Rfam family: Bacterial small subunit ribosomal RNA
Source: RNAcentral